GUGGGGAAUCUUCCGCAAUGGGCGCAAGCCUGACGGAGCAACGCCGCGUGAGUGAAGAAGGGUUUCGACUCGUAAAGCUCUGUUGUCGGGGACGAAUGUGGAGAUGGUGAAUAACCAUUUUCAAUGACGGUACCUGACGAGGAAGCCACGGCUAACUACGUGCCAGCAGCCGCGGUAAUACGUAGGUGGCGAGCGUUGUCCGGAAUUAUUGGGCGUAAAGGGAGCGCAGGCGGGAAGGUAAGUCUAUCUUAAAAGUGCGGGGCUCAACCCCGUGAGGGGAUGGAAACUAUCUUUCUUGAGUGCAGGAGAGGAAAGCGGAAUUCCUAGUGUAGCGGUGAAAUGCGUAGAUAUUAGGAGGAACACCAGUGGCGAAGGCGGCUUUCUGGACUGUAACUGACGCUGAGGCUCGAAAGCGUGGGGAGCGAACAGGA
Molecule: ribosomal RNA, 431 nt
Filed under: uncultured bacterium
Lineage: Bacteria
Description: bacterial SSU rRNA
Rfam family: Bacterial small subunit ribosomal RNA
Source: RNAcentral